RNAcentral lists this ribosomal RNA (406 nucleotides) under uncultured bacterium. RNAcentral's name for it is "partial 16S ribosomal RNA". It matches the Rfam family "Bacterial small subunit ribosomal RNA", at positions 29 to 526 of the family's 1533-position model. The record is from RNAcentral.
AUUGAACGCUGGCGGCAGGCUUAACACAUGCAAGUCGAGCGAGCGGCGGACGGGUGAGUAAUGUCUGGGAAACUGCCUGAUGGAGGGGGAUAACUACUGGAAACGGUAGCUAAUACCGCAUACCAUCAGAUGUGCCCAGAUGGGAUUAGCUAGUAGGUGGGGUAAUGGCUCACCUAGGCGACGCUCCCUAGCUGGUCUGAGAGGAUGACAAGCCAAACUGGAAACGAGACAAGGUACAGACUCCGACGGGAGGCAGCAGUGGGGAAUAUUGCACAAUGGGCGAAAGCAGGAUGCAGCCAUGCCGCGGGUGUGAAGAAGGCCUUCGGGUUGUAAAGCACUGUCAGCGAGGAGGCGUUACUCGCAGAAGAAGCACCGGCUAACUCCGUGCCAGCAGCCGCGGUAAUAC